RNAcentral lists this long non-coding RNA (948 nucleotides) under Ananas comosus (pineapple). Its description in RNAcentral is "long non-coding RNA (ACOM_LNC039883)". Lineage: Eukaryota; Viridiplantae; Streptophyta; Magnoliopsida; Poales; Bromeliaceae. The record is from RNAcentral.
AAAAUUUAAAAUUAAUUUUAUAUUUUGAAUUGAAAUAUAAAUUUACAAUAAAUAUUGUGACAAGAAUUUUGGAUAAGCAUAAAUUUUUUUUUUUCUAUUUUAGAGAUAAAAAGAAAUUAAACAAAUUUCGAAUUAAAAUAUAGAUUCAUAGUAGAUAUUUUUCGGUUGGCAAAAAUUUGGAUAAGUAUAUUUUUUUUAUUUUAGAGAUAAAGAGAAAUUAAAAGUUAAUUUCCGAACGUUAUUUAUUUUAUAUAAGGAAAGAGGAAUCAAUUUUUUUUUUCCGCUUGGGUUUAUUGACAGAUCGAAAUUUGAAAUACGUAAUUUAUAUAUAGUAUAGAUAGUCUAGAUAUUAUAUUAUAGAUAGAGAUAAAAAAGAAUUAAAUAAAGUUUAAAUUAAAAUAUAGAUUCACAGAGAUAUUCUUCGGUUGGCAAAAGUUUGGAUAAGCAUAAAUUAUUUUCUGUUGUAGAAAUAAAGAGGAAUUAAAAGUUUGCGUAAUUCUGUUAUUUAUUUUAUAAGGAAAGAGGAAUCAAUUUUUUUUUUAAGUCUCGCCAAAAAAUGGGUCUGUCAACAUAUCGAAAUUUGAAAUAUAUGCUUUUAUAUAUAGUAUAGAUAUGCUUUGCAUACUGUUCAUGACAUGACAUGAACAUUGCAGGAAAGCUUAAACUUUAUUUUGAUUUCAAUUUUAUUUUACUUGAUUUCUUUAUAAUCGAAUAUUAAAAGAGUCGCUAUUAAUCUCUUUCGUGUUCGUGCUCGUAGGAGGAAAAAUUCCGAUCGUAUUCUGGAACGACAUUUCUGGUUAAUCCCGUAUGAAGAACGGGAAUAUACUUUAGGGUAGUGUCUUGCACGCUUCCAAAUUAAUUAUUUUCGAGUUUUUUCAUCGACUAUAUAUUUGAAAUUUAGCGCUCAUUUGUAAAUACAUUUUUAAUUUUCAUCAUAAAAUUAGCUAG